AGGACAUCAUGAAAUUGUUGCCUCUGAUUGGUGGCUACUCAGGAAGAAGGUCAAGCAUAAUUCAAGAAGAAUGUCCUGUUCACUGCAAAUACCAUUUGGAGGAAUUAUGUUAACUCACGUACCACCUCUAAUGAACAGUUGCGCAGCUGCAUGCAGAGUGACUUGAGGGAGGUGACGAAGUUAAAGGUGAGGGGAAUGUGAAAGCUCUUAUACAGUUUUGGUGUACCUUGUGACUGAGGUUCCUCUGAAAUUCCGGCUCACCAGAGGGAGGUAGUCCGUCACGGAUAUAAAGAUAAACGUCUUUGCACUCUGGAUGACUUGAUAGAUGGCGUCUACAUCUCUGGUGCGAUCUUUAGAGCAGAAGA
Long non-coding RNA from Micropterus dolomieu (smallmouth bass), 365 nucleotides. RefSeq lists it as uncharacterized. The record is from RefSeq and is a predicted model, not a curated record. NCBI's taxonomy places the organism in Eukaryota, Metazoa, Chordata, Actinopteri, Centrarchiformes, Centrarchidae. The transcript is spliced from 3 exons.